RNAcentral lists this ribosomal RNA (431 nucleotides) under uncultured bacterium. Its description in RNAcentral is "partial 16S ribosomal RNA". It matches the Rfam family "Bacterial small subunit ribosomal RNA", at positions 29 to 506 of the family's 1533-position model. The record is from RNAcentral.
AACGAACGCUGGCGGCAUGCCUAACACAUGCAAGUCGAACGAGACCUUCGGGUCUAGUGGCGCACGGGUGCGUAACGCGUGGGAACCUGCCUUUAGGUUCGGAAUAACUCAGAGAAAUUUGAGCUAAUACCGGAUGAUGUCUUCGGACCAAAGAUUUAUCGCCUUUAGAUGGGCCCGCGUUGGAUUAGCUAGUUGGUGGGGUAAAGGCCUACCAAGGCGACGAUCCAUAGCUGGUCUGAGAGGAUGAUCAGCCACACUGGGACUGAGACACGGCCCAGACUCCUACGGGGGGCGGCGGUGGGGAAAAUUGGACAAUGGGCAAAAGCCGAAUCCAGCAAUGCCGCGUAGGGGUUGAAGGCCUAAGGUUUGUAAAGCUCUUUACCCGAGAUGAUAAUGACAGUAUCGGGAGAAUAAGCUCCGGCUAACUCCGU